Molecule: unclassified non-coding RNA, 207 nt
Filed under: Hevea brasiliensis (rubber tree)
Lineage: Eukaryota; Viridiplantae; Streptophyta; Magnoliopsida; Malpighiales; Euphorbiaceae
Source: RNAcentral
AAAAAACAUUGCGAUGUUGCCUAGUACGUGGCUGACGGUACUCGUCCCCCCAGCUUCGCCGCCAUGUCCGUCAAAAACAGCCAUGGUUUUUCCGAAUGGCUGGAGCUCGUAGCCUGCCACGGGAUGCUCGAGAUCUGCGCCGACGUGAGGCAUGCGUUCUGGUUCGGUCUGAAGCUUCGCGAACAUCAGCGGGGGAAGAGAGUGGUG